CAGCGCAGACCGAGUGGAGCUGCUGGUUUCACUUCCUGUCGCUGCCAGGGGCGGACGGGGCGCAGAAGUAGGCUGCUGUGAGGUACAACGUCUUUUCCUUUUAGCUACAAAAACAAGAAGAAAGCUAAACUCUUAGGAACGCCCACAGCAACCUACUUAUUUUAAAUAAUCCCAAAUAAGUUACUUGCUUAGAAACUUAAUGCAUGUUGCAACCUCAAAAUGUAACCAGUUCCAUUCUUAAGUGACUCGUGGUCCCCAGGAGAGUAUGGGUGAAUGGCAGUGCAAUGGUAAACGAAAUUACUCAACAAUAGAGUAGCUUCAGCUCCAGCCCAUACUGGAUGAUGCCUGGCCUCAGCGAGUCCAAAUGCAUCCAGACCAGCAGGAGUUCAGGCACCCACUCCUCCAGUGCAUUUCCAGGCUACGUUUCUCUUCUUCCAGAGCACCAACAGGAAGAAUGGAGCAGUGUGCUGCCCUGCUUGGGUGUUCUGCUUGUUGGGGAGUAGCUACCAGUCCAGCUUUGCACCACACAAGGAGGAGAGCUGAGAGUUGAAGAUCAUUUACAGGAUAAUGAAGCGCAAAGCAGAGAAACCAUUUCUCCAUUUCCAUUGUUUUUUGACAUGCCAACAAGCAAAAGGCAAAGAGAGGCGCUCCAUCAACAAAGAGGUAAAGCCAGAGCCGGUGCCCCCUCCAAAGCUGUGGAAGAUGAGGAAUCCCUGCAGUCCAGAACAGGCAUCAGCCUAGAAACCAAAAGAUAAAGUAAAAGAAUAGGGGCUGAAAAAGAAGUAAAAGACUACAUCUACUGCAUUUGUUUAUUCUGAGAUGAAGGAGAGAGCAAUCAUCAGCAAUACACAGCACAUAUUUCAGGUCAGUAUUUCUUAAGAAAGGGCUGAUGAUAAUUUUGUUCUUUUCUUCCUUCACUGGCUUGACUUUUGACAUAAAAAUUAGUCUCUUAACAGUGAACUUCUCUCCCUGAACUCCACAGUUUUUUCAGUUAAUCUAACUGAAACAACAACAGCAACACAGAACCAUGUAAUCUACACUUCUAUGUCAGUGUUGGUAUUUUAGAGCUAUGCUAUUGAUAGAAUCAUAGAAUUGCUGAUGAAUUGCAUAGAAUUGAUGAAAAAUUACAUAUUCAGAAACAUCUUUUACGAAUAUCUGAAGCCAUGCAACUGGGAGGUCUCUGCUGGUCUUUUUUAGAGUGGUAAUGAUCUUUCUGUAGGUCUUGCAGUCUCCUUUCUGAGCUGAUUCACAUUUCCUGUAGUGCAUUUCUUCCUUCAGUGGAACUAAAGCAAUGUUUAAAAACU
Meleagris gallopavo (turkey) is the source of this 1304-nucleotide non-coding RNA. NCBI's taxonomy places the organism in Eukaryota, Metazoa, Chordata, Aves, Galliformes, Phasianidae. The record is from RefSeq and is a predicted model, not a curated record.